This 301-nucleotide ribosomal RNA is filed under the name uncultured bacterium. RNAcentral's name for it is "partial 16S ribosomal RNA". It matches the Rfam family "Bacterial small subunit ribosomal RNA", at positions 509 to 807 of the family's 1533-position model. The record is from RNAcentral.
CAGCAGCCACGGUAACACGUAGGUGGCAAGCGUUGUCCGGAAUUAUUGGGCGUAAAGGGCUCGCAGGCGGUUUCUUAAGUCUGAUGUGAAAGCCCCCGGCUCAACCGGGGAGGGUCAUUGGAAACUGGGAAACUUGAGUGCAGAAGAGGAGAGUGGAAUUCCACGUGUAGCGGUGAAAUGCGUAGAGAUGUGGAGGAACACCAGUGGCGAAGGCGACUCUCUGGUCUGUAACUGACGCUGAGGAGCGAAAGCGUGGGGAGCGAACAGGAUUAGAUACCCCGGUAGUCCCUGUCUCUUAUAC